GACGAACGCUGGCGGCGUGCCUAAUACAUGCAAGUAGAACGCUGAAGCUUGGUGCUUGCACCGAGCGGAUGAGUUGCGAACGGGUGAGUAACGCGUAGGUAACCUGCCUGGUAGCGGGGGAUAACUAUUGGAAACGAUAGCUAAUACCGCAUGAUAUUGAUUAUUGCAUGAUAGUCAAUUAAAAGGUGCAAUUGCAUCACUACCAGAUGGACCUGCGUUGUAUUAGCUAGUUGGUGAGGUAACGGCUCACCAAGGCAACGAUACAUAGCCGACCUGAGAGGGUGAUCGGCCACACUGGGACUGAGACACGGCCCAGACUCCUACGGGAGGCAGCAGUAGGGAAUCUUCGGCAAUGGACGGAAGUCUGACCGAGCAACGCCGCGUGAGUGAAGAAGGUUUUCGGAUCGUAAAGCUCUGUUGUAAGAGAAGAACGAGUGUGAGAGUGGAAAGUUCACACU
RNAcentral lists this ribosomal RNA (458 nucleotides) under Streptococcus sp. oral taxon 070. RNAcentral describes it as "bacterial SSU rRNA". It matches the Rfam family "Bacterial small subunit ribosomal RNA", at positions 28 to 470 of the family's 1533-position model. Lineage: Bacteria; Bacillati; Bacillota; Bacilli; Lactobacillales; Streptococcaceae. The record is from RNAcentral.